CAACAGGUCUGGCCCAUGGCUCAGGUCUCUAUCUCAAGCCCUGUGAAAUCCACCCUCAUUUGGAGGUAGACAAGGCCUUAGAUACCCUUUGGCAGAGCUCUCUUGGUUGAAAUUCUAGCCGUUUCUCCUGAUCUUAAUCUAUUUGCACAGAUGCCCUUUUUCUCCUUGUAGUCAGGGUGCUUUCCUCACAUCCCAUGACUAGGUAGAUUUCAUUAGUCCUUGUCCUGAGUCUUUUCUGGCCUCUCCAUUGCCUUCAUGAUUAGUGUCUACUUGGCUGAAGCCAUCUAUAAUUUUUGUCUGCCCUGUGUUUUAAGAUAAUUAGUUUAGUAGAUUUACUGUCUACUGAAUAAAGAACAGCUCAUUUAAGAGAGCUUCUGCCAUAUCCCUAAUGUUGUUGGGCGUUCUUAUUGAUGAUCACAAUGGUGUCAUCAUGGUGGUCCAUCAGGUUGGGAAUUUCCAAUUGAUGUGUACAAACUCAGUGGUACUCUGUGGUUUGUGAGAGAUGCCCUUACACAGUCAAGAUCCUCUUCUGGCUCUGGGGCUGGCUCUGGGGCCAGCCCUUGCUUAAGGAUUGGCAGAAGUCAGUCCUGUUCUGACCAUGUGCAGCCCUCUGAGGGGCACUGGGAAACAAGCCUGACAGUUCCGGGUCCAGAGAGCAUCGAACUGUGGCCUCUCCGAGUAGGACUCUUUGGGCCACUGACGCACAUGAGAGGCUGGGGAAGCAGGCCAGUGAUUAUGUGUCUGACUCAACCUAUUGCUUGGAUUUCUGUUUGACUCAAGCCAGCGUAUCACGAAAAGCUGCAGAGUGAAUGUCCUCGUGAUGUUUUUGCUUCGUUCUGUCUCCUAGGCUAGCCUGAAAGCUGACUCUAUAAAUAAGCCCGUUGCACAGCAGUGUCAAGACUUGGUUAAAGUCAUUGAGGAUUUCCCAGCAAAGGAGCUGCACACCAUCUUCCCAUGGCUGGUAGAGAGCAUUUUUGGCAGCCUAGAUGGUGUCCUCAUUGGCUGGAACCUCCGCUGCUUACAAGGGCAUGUGAAUCCUGUGGAGUACAGCAUCGUGAUGGAAUUUCUUGACCCUGGUGGCCCAAUGAUGAAGUUGGUUUAUAAGCUUCAAGCUGAAGACUAUAGGUUUGACUUUCCUGUCUCCUACCUGCCUGGUCCUGUGAAGGCGUCCAUCCAGGAGCGCAUCCUCCCUGACAGUCCCCUGUACCACAACAAGGUCCGCUUCACCCCUACUGGGGGCCUUGGCCUGAACCUGGCCCUGAAUCCGUUCGAGUAUUACAUAUUCUUCUUUGCCGUGAGCCUCAUCACUCAAAAGCCACUCCCUGUGUCCCUCCACGUCCGUACUUCAGACUGUGCCUAUUUCAUCCUGGUGGACAGGUACCUGUCGUGGUUCCUGCCCACCGAAGGCAGUGUGCCCCCGCCACUCUCCUCCAGUCCAGGGGGAACCAGCCCCUCACCACCUCCCAGGACACCAGCCAUGCCCUUUGCUUCCUAUGGCCUCCACCACACUAGCCUCCUGAAGCGACACAUCUCUCAUCAGACGUCUGUGAAUGCAGACCCCGCCUCCCAUGAGAUCUGGAGGCCAGAAACUCUGCUCCAGGUUUUUGUUGAAAUGUGGCUUCAUCACUAUUCCUUGGAGAUGUAUCAAAAAAUGCAGUCCCCUCACGCCAAGGUAUGUUUCCACAGUUUUUCUUCCCACUUUCUGCUUCUGACCCUGCUCAACCUGCUGCUGCUU
RNA transcript from Piliocolobus tephrosceles (Ugandan red Colobus), 1735 nucleotides. It is a transcript of the gene named sphingomyelin phosphodiesterase 4-like, with no coding region annotated. The record is from RefSeq and is a predicted model, not a curated record. NCBI's taxonomy places the organism in Eukaryota, Metazoa, Chordata, Mammalia, Primates, Cercopithecidae. The transcript has 8 exons.